AGAGUUUGAUCCUGGCUCAGAUUGAACGCUGGCGGCAGGCCUAACACAUGCAAGUCGAGCGGUAACAGAAAGUAGCUUGCUACUUUGCUGACGAGCGGCGGACGGGUGAGUAAUGCUUGGGAACAUGCCUUGAGGUGGGGGACAACAGUUGGAAACGACUGCUAAUACCGCAUAAUGUCUACGGACCAAAGGGGGCUUCGGCUCUCGCCUUUAGAUUGGCCCAAGUGGGAUUAGCUAGUUGGUGAGGUAAUGGCUCACCAAGGCAACGAUCCCUAGCUGGUUUGAGAGGAUGAUCAGCCACACUGGAACUGAGACACGGUCCAGACUCCUACGGGAGGCAGCAGUGGGGAAUAUUGCACAAUGGGCGAAAGCCUGAUGCAGCCAUGCCGCGUGUGUGAAGAAGGCCUUCGGGUUGUAAAGCACUUUCAGUCAGGAGGAAAGGGUGUGAGUUAAUACCUCAUAUCUGUGACGUUACUGACAAAAGAAGCACCGGCUAACUCCGUGCCAGCAGCCGCGGUAAUACGGAGGGUGCGAGCGUUAAUCGGAAUUACUGGGCGUAAAGCGUACGCAGGCGGUUUGUUAAGCGAGAUGUGAAAGCCCCGGGCUCAACCUGGGAACUGCAUUUCGAACUGGCAAACUAGAGUGUGAUAGAGGGUGGUAGAAUUUCAGGUGUAGC
This 676-nucleotide ribosomal RNA is filed under the name uncultured Gammaproteobacteria bacterium. RNAcentral's name for it is "bacterial SSU rRNA". It matches the Rfam family "Bacterial small subunit ribosomal RNA", at positions 8 to 679 of the family's 1533-position model. Lineage: Bacteria; Pseudomonadati; Pseudomonadota; Gammaproteobacteria. The record is from RNAcentral.